AGUUAGACAGCAGUCUGUUGGGAUGACACAAAUAAAAUACAUGCUUCCUUGGUGUGGUGAAACAUCCUGGGGACUGUGCCCAUCAGGUGGUUCCAUGAGCUCGUUGUGAAGAUCACAUUUACCUGAAACUACAGCUAUGUAGGAACUGGGAAGGGAAUUCUGCAACAAUUACUUGGUUUAUUUCUGGUUGCAGACAAAUUCUUCUUCAAUGACUGUGAGGAAGAAGUUCUUGAGUUCCUGUGGUGUUUAGGAAAGCUUCAGCUCUGAGAUAAAUGCCUUCCUAUUUGCCUUGGCACGUUGCUUGGUUGGCUUGGCUCAGUCACAGGGGAGGCAAGCCUCUUCACCUGGAACAAUCCGCCCACCAACAAAAUCUUAAGGAAAAAACUGCUUGAGAAAUGAAGCUUUUUUUUUUUUUUUUUUUUUUUUUUUUCCACCUGCACCCUUGCCCUCCAGCCAGCCUGGUAUUUGCUUGAGUGGGAAGGUUGCUGCUUGUAGCUCGGGUCUCUGGCGAGGAGCUGUGAGCUCCUUCCCCCCCACUCCCGUCCCUGUGCCCCAGGGAUAACAGGGAUUGCCUCAAGGGACCUGGUAGUAGUUACACUUCAGACUCAGAUGGCAAAGCUAUCACUUUUUCAAACAAAAGAAAGGGAUAAGCUCAUAUCCAUACAGACCUAUGGAAAUUAAAGGGAAACACGGCUCAACUUUCACUUGGUGAACUCACCUACAAGGCAAAUGAACCGGCCACUGCCGAAACAAACAGAAGGCCCUUCUCGGGGCAGGGAGCAUCACCUUCCCUACCAGGUCUCAACUUGCCAAACCACUCCCAAGGAAGGGUAGAUCUUGGAGGAGCUGCAGAAAGAUGCCCUUGGUAUUCUGCAGCCGUAACUUCAACAGCCAAUAUCCUACUGCUUUCCAUGAGGCGCGGGUUCCCCCACACACCUGGAGAGGAGAACUGUAAAACACUGAAGGGAAAGCUCGCAGAGGUAAUAAAGCAGUGAGAGAAAAUACCUGGGGAGGGAGCGCAAUGCACCAAAACACACCUAGCAAAACAGUAACAGGACACAAGUCAAUAAAUAAGCGCUGAUCUAUAAUACACUC
This 1095-nucleotide long non-coding RNA is filed under the name Anas platyrhynchos (mallard). RNAcentral describes it as "lncRNA (ENSAPLG00020011185.1)". The record is from RNAcentral. Lineage: Eukaryota; Metazoa; Chordata; Aves; Anseriformes; Anatidae.